UUGGCUGCCUCCCAGGUCAACCAACGGCUGGGAAGCCGUCUCCGCGCGCUUCCUCCUUCCUCCUCCUCCUCCUCCCGGCUCCCGCCGGCCCCUCCUCCCGCUCGCGCGCCCUCCCUCCUCUUCCCCUCCCGGCCGCCGCCGCCGCCUCCUCCUCCCCCUCCUCCCUUUCUCUCUCGGUCGCUCUGGGCCCCGACUCCAUUCCGGCCUGGGAGCCGGCGCGGCCAGGCCGCCGUCAGUCCGCUCGCCCCGGCCCCACCGGCCGUCCUCGCGCCUCCGUCUGUCCAUCCGCCCGUGCGCCCGCCCGAGGCCCAGAGCAGCACGUGAGGGCUCUGAGAGGUGGACCCAUUCGCCCAGCGAUGAGAGGCAGAGCCAGGCGUUGAAGCUAGCACUGGCAUCUCAUGUAGGUGCCAGUUUGAAUCCUGGUUGCUCCAUUUCUGGUCCAGCUCCGUGCUCACGUACCUGGGAAAACAGUGGAGGAUGCCUGAAGUCCUUGGACCUCCCCUGCCCCCCAUGUGGGAGAUCCAGAAGAAGCUCCUGGCUUCUGGCUUCUGUGUGGCCCAGCCCCAGCCACUGUGGUCAUCUGGGGAGCAAACCAGCCCAUGGAAGAUCUCUCU
Molecule: long non-coding RNA, 614 nt
Organism: Ochotona princeps (American pika)
Lineage: Eukaryota; Metazoa; Chordata; Mammalia; Lagomorpha; Ochotonidae
Exons: 3
Source: RefSeq, a predicted model, not a curated record